CAAAAGCCAUGUAAUGAUCAUCACAAGAAUACCACAGCCUGAGUAAGAUGAAUUUGCACUUGAAUGCCCGUAUACUACUCGUGCUCCUUCAACUCCUUGCCUUCUUUCUUCUCCUUCACUUCCCCCUCCUUCUUCUCCUCGUUCACGGCCUCGUCGUCCUUUUCCGGCCACUGAAGGUACAAGCAAGGAUAUCACUAGUACAACAGCGACCAUAACCUUAAACAUUGCUACAACAUUAUGCCUAUUCUUCUUCAUUCUCACAAUAUUGCAAACAAGGAAUUCAAUAAUUGUGAAGAAAGAAAGAUGUGAUAAAAAGAGUAAAAUUCUCGGCAGCUAUAUAUAGACUAUAAACUAUCAGUUUGAUGCCAAAUUUUCGUAACCAUAUACAUAUUAAAGUUCCAAAUUGUAGUAUUAACUAAGGGAACGUUUUAUUUACUUAAAUAUUAACUUUUAUUUCGAUCGCGUAUUAUUAAGUUACGAUAUAUAUAUAGUAUUGUCUUUUCUUUUUCAUACAGGAAAAGGUUUUCAUAUUUCCGUAAAUAAGGAUCCUUCUAUUUUCCCCAUGCAUACAAAUAUCUUCCGCAAUUAAUUUAAGCUACAGGGAAAAAAAGGUACAGUGCGUCCUCCUAUAUCCUAAGAUAUCUAUAUAUUAGUGCAUUUAAGUUAGAGAUACACCAUCAAUAUAAUUUAAUAUAUAUUAUAGCAAAAUUAUUUACCUUGUAUUGUAGAUUACAAUUUAAUGCUAUUAAAUAGAGUUGUAAGCAAAAUUAUCUUGGAUGGGUAAACUAUUUUUAUUGGUGGAAUACAAAUACAAACAUAGCCAAAUAGAACAUGCAGGCUUUCCAGUGUAUUGUGUUGAAUUUUUUUUGGAUUUGACUAAUGUAUUUUUGUCCAAAUUUUGUUUUUGCAUAAAAAAGUGGCUAACUUUUAAUUAGCUGUUGUAAAUCAAACCACUUCUGAAUUUCUUCCUUUAAUUUUAAUUAUUCAAAUGUUAGUUAUUAAGUGUAUUUUUAUUAUUAUUACAACUAGUAAUUGUGUUUGAAUAUAUGUGAAUGACAAAGAUAUAUAACAAAAGUCCUAAUAUUAUUAAGAUUCUAUCGUCCACUUUGACUUGCUAGCCACCAUUACUAUUGCCAUUACCUACAACCACCGCCACCAAACAGCAUCACCACAAACUAUCACCCCAGUUAACAUCAUUGUUAGCCAUCACCUACACCGUUAACCACUAUUGUCAUCCACAAUCACUACUAGCUACUAUUCAAAACUAUGCCGGUACCCAUAUUCACUACUGUUAACUAUCACCAUCACCAAUUACCGUAUUAUUUUGUAAAACAUUUUGUUGAGAUAAAGUUAGAUUAAUUAGUGUUUUAUUUAAGUUUAUAUUUAUUAUUUUUUUAAUUAAGGACAACUUUAGACAUUCAAAUAUUAAGAAAAUAAACAAUCUUAAUUAUUUUGUAUUGAGAUGUUAAAAUACAUUCUACCUUCAGUGGCCGGGCGAGGGGCGGAGGAGGACAUGGUCGAGGAAUAUUCUUUGGAGGAAGGAGAGGUUGGCAUUCAAGUCGGCAUUCAAGUGCUUCAUCUUGCUCUAGGCAUGCUUCAAAACCAAAGUAGAAGUAUGAAUGAAAAUCAUAAGAUGAAGCGAAAUUGUUGAGCAGGAAAACAAGAGACAAACCGCGCGCAUAAAUUAAUCACAGGUUCCAUAAUCAAAACAGCAAAUUAUGAAAAAACAAAAAAGAAAAAAGAAAUUCAGAACAUAACCAGGCAGGAGGAGCUCGAUUGUAGACGCCAUCGGGUCUACCAAGGUUUGAGCCCCUAAUUUAUUUUUCUAUUAAUUGUUUUUCGUGUUUUCCACCUAAGCAGCAUAGAGAGAUGUUUGACUUGAUUACGUGGAAAUAUUCAAAGACUAAUAAACCUGGACUUAACCGUUACGAAUUAACAUAACUGAUUUGCCCGCCAACGAGGGUUGAAGUAGCGGGUGGAAUGGAUAGGAUCUCU
This 1995-nucleotide long non-coding RNA is filed under the name Nicotiana benthamiana. RNAcentral describes it as "long non-coding RNA (NBEN_LNC040465)". Lineage: Eukaryota; Viridiplantae; Streptophyta; Magnoliopsida; Solanales; Solanaceae. The record is from RNAcentral.